RNAcentral lists this ribosomal RNA (162 nucleotides) under Acinetobacter baumannii. RNAcentral describes it as "partial 16S ribosomal RNA". It matches the Rfam family "Bacterial small subunit ribosomal RNA", at positions 1 to 167 of the family's 1533-position model. The record is from RNAcentral. Lineage: Bacteria; Pseudomonadati; Pseudomonadota; Gammaproteobacteria; Moraxellales; Moraxellaceae.
GAAGAGUUUGAUCAUGGCUCAGAUUGAACGCUGGCGGCAGGCUUAACACAUGCAAGUCGAGCGGGGGAAGGUAGCUUGCUACCGGACCUAGCGGCGGACGGGUGAGUAAUGCUUAGGAAUCUGCCUAUUAGUGGGGGACAACAUCUCGAAAGGGAUGCUAAU